Molecule: ribosomal RNA, 253 nt
Filed under: uncultured bacterium
Lineage: Bacteria
Description: partial 16S ribosomal RNA
Rfam family: Bacterial small subunit ribosomal RNA
Source: RNAcentral
UACGUAGGUGGCGAGCGUUGUCCGGAUUUACUGGGCGUAAAGAGCGCGCAGGCGGUCAUAUAAGUCGAAUGUGAAAGCCCCUGGCUCAACUAGGGAGAGUCAUUCGAUACUGUUCGACUCGAAGGCAGGAGAGGGAAGUGGAAUUCCGGGUGUAGUGGUGAAAUGCGUAGAUAUCCGGAGGAACACCAGUGGCGAAGGCGACUUUCUGGCCUGUUCUUGACGCUGAGGCGCGAAAGCUAGGGGAGCAAACGGG